GCAUCCGGUAGCCUGAAGGGCCAGUCUCACUUCCACCAUGUCCCCGCAACAGCACGGAGUGUAUUUUCAGGCAGCCGGUGAGUAGGGCUACAAGCCUCCAGCUGAGAAAGCAAAGCCAACUCACAGUUCCUUGGCUGUCCCGCGGAGCCUGCGGUGGCAAACCACCUCCUUCAGAAGGGUCUGUGGAUUCUCCUGGCUUUUCUGUCCUUGCCGGAGUCCCACUGCUCCCGAACACAUGCCCUGAGGCAGCGUGCCUGCACAACCAGCUUCCAUCUGAACGCUUCAGACAUGCGCUGCAUUCAGGCAAGAGCCCUUUGGAUCUUCCCAAUUAGAGCAAAAUCGCUAGCAUUUAACUUCUAAUUUUACAAGUAACAGUGAUUUGCAAUUAGUAACAGACAUCAAGAUGACUUGUGACCAGCAUUAUACAUGUUAUUAAUUUGCACUCAUCUAUAAUUAAUUUUACAAUGGCAUUUAGCUCAAUGCUUAUUAUAGGAAAAUCUGUCGUUGAGAACCAGGAUUAUUACCUCUACAAAUACAUUAUUUUCUCUGUAAAAGAACUCUGACUACUUUCACCAGAAGUACAUUUUUAAAGUUAGUAUUUUGUACUCGUAGAACUAGAUUAAAUAAUAUCUCGUUGAGUGAACGAUAUUUUAAGAUUACAAGCUGAAUUGCUUAUUAUGGCUUUCUAAAUUCAUACCUGUUCUGCAGCAGAAUAUUUAAAAAUUUAAGUAUUGAAAAUAGUCUAAGCAAAGAAAAUUGCUACUUGUUAACUUUGGAAGACUUGAAGACAUAAAAUUUCACCAAAUGACAGAUUUAUAAAAAUUUCUUUUUGGGGGAAUGUUCAAGUAUUGUGAAACUGUUACUGAAAACAAAACAUUAAAGCAUUAGCACGUGUUUUAAAAAGCAAUAAGACAAUCACCUCUGUAAGAAACACACAGCUAAUUAUUAUGUGUUCUAGAGAAUGCUGUCACAAUCAGUCAACUUACAGAAGCAUGAUUUUCUUUUUAUUGAAGUUGUCCCUUUGCAAAGGGUCCCUUUAGAUAUUAUUUCUGUGAAUAAAUAAUUCACUGUCUUCUUCAUACUCAAAGAUAUGCUUUUGAGAUAUAUGUAUAUAUGACUCUUUAGUAUGAGCUUAAUUUUUUUCUCCAGCAAUGGCUGUAAGAAUGCACAGACUACAAGAGACAAUAGUGAGAAAGCUGAGAAAGCUGGUGAUCCACACCCUUUCCAUUGGAAGCCUACAGGGAGCUUUCCCCUAGGGCCCCACGUGGUCAGCCUUAGAGCGACUAACACUUCCUAAUUCAAGAAACCAACCCUUGGCCCCUGCACAGCGAGAACCAAGAUGAAUUGAUUAAUGCACAGUGAAAACUAUAAUUCUCACAAAGACAAAAUCUUGUCAGCAAGUAUGUCUGUCCCCCAUAGCCUGGUGUUUAGCAAAUGAAAUAUUUGAAAUUCAGUGACCACAACAUCUGCUCCUCAGGCCAGUAUCUGGAUGCUUAUUGUCCAUGUUCAGGUACAUCCAUCUCAAAGGAUGUAGAGCCACACACCUUCUUUCAUCUUACAUCAUUUAUUUUGUUAUUUCCUAUACAGGGCAGGGACUUUUCUUGGACAGAGAAGCUGAGAAGUAUCAGAUAAAGAUGACCUGCAUGUACUGGAAAAUAAUCUGUGGUUUAUAUGUAGGCGGAUGGAAGCAAACCAGGGAACAAAAGAAGAAUUUGUAGUUCACAGCCACAUGAGAUAGUCAAGUGUUAAAAGGGAAAAAGAGCUAUCGAAGGCAGGAAGCAAAAUGCCUUCAGAGAUAAAAGGUUAUUCGUGGCUGAGUGAAAAAAAUGGACAAUGAGCAGAAAAUAAUUUAUACUACAAAGUCUUUAGACGUCAUUUACUUGGUAAGACAUUAUAGAAAUAUUUUUGGCCGUUUUGUUUGCUUUAAAAUCCACUUAACUACAAAGUGACUUCACAGUUUAAAAAUGACAUAACAUAAUCUAUAUGGUACUACACUGAUAAUAUCAUCUAAUCUUUCAUUAUGCUGUGACCAAGUCUUCUGUUAAAAGUCUAAUUUUAACCUGGCACAGUGGCUCACGCCUGUAAUCCCAGCACUUUGGGAGGCCAAGGCGGGUGGAUCACAAGG
Molecule: long non-coding RNA, 2125 nt
Filed under: Homo sapiens (human)
Lineage: Eukaryota; Metazoa; Chordata; Mammalia; Primates; Hominidae
Description: HSALNT0324525
Source: RNAcentral